UACGGAGGAUGCGAGCGUUAUCCGGAUUUAUUGGGUUUAAAGGGUGCGUAGGCGGCUUUUUAAGUCAGCGGUGAAAUUUUGCAGCUUAACUGUAACAGUGCCGUUGAUACUGGGGAGCUAGGAUUUGGUUGCUGUGGGUGGAAUGUGUGGUGUAGCGGUGAAAUGCUUAGAGAUCACACAGAAUAUCGAUUGCGAAGGCAGCUCACAAAGCCAAGAUUGACGCUGAGGCACGAAAGUGUGGGGAUCAGACAGGAUUA
Molecule: ribosomal RNA, 257 nt
Filed under: uncultured prokaryote
Description: partial 16S ribosomal RNA
Rfam family: Bacterial small subunit ribosomal RNA
Source: RNAcentral